CCUUUGUACACACCGCCCGUCGCUACUACCGAUUGAAUGGCUCAGUGAGGCGUUCGGACUGGCUCGGGGAGGUUGGCAACGACCACCCCAAGCCGGAAAGUUCGUCAAACUCGGUCAUUUAGAGGAAGUAAAAGUCGUAACAAGGUCUCCGUAGGUGAACCUGCGGAGGGAUCAUUACACAAUAUAAUACGAAGGCCGUCCGCGGCUGGACUAUUUUAUUACCCUUGUCUUUUGCGCACUUGUUGUUUCCUGGGCGGGUUCGCUCGCCACCAGGACCACCAAAUAAACCUUUUUAAUGCAGUUGCAAUCAGCGUCAGUACAACAAAUGUUAAUCAUUUACAACUUUCAACAACGGAUCUCUUGGUUCUGGCAUCGAUGAAGAACGCAGCGAAAUGCGAUACGUAGUGUGAAUUGCAGAAUUCAGUGAAUCAUCGAAUCUUUGAACGCACAUUGCGCCCUUUGGUAUUCCAAAGGGCAUGCCUGUUCGAGCGUCAUUUGUACCCUCAAGCUUUGCUUGGUGUUGGGCGUUUCUUGUCUUUGGCUGGCCCAAAGACUCGCCUUAAAACGAUUGGCAGCCGGCCUACUGGUUUCGCAGCGCAGCACAUUUUUGCGCUUGCAAUCAGCAAAAGAGGACGGCACUCCAUCAAGAACUCCUUCUCACGUUUGACCUCGGAUCAGGUAGGGAUACCCGCUGAACUUAAGCAUAUCAUAA
This 712-nucleotide unclassified non-coding RNA is filed under the name Curvularia neergaardii. Its description in RNAcentral is "sequence contains ITS1, 5.8S rRNA gene, ITS2". The stretch from base 1 to 177 matches the Rfam family "Eukaryotic small subunit ribosomal RNA", at positions 1657 to 1831 of the family's 1831-position model. The record is from RNAcentral. Lineage: Eukaryota; Fungi; Ascomycota; Dothideomycetes; Pleosporales; Pleosporaceae.